UACGAGGGGGGCAAGUGUUGUUCGGAAUCACUGGGCGUAAAGGGAGCGUAGGCGGAUGUUUAAGUUGGAUGUUUAAAACCGGGGCCUAACCUCGGAGCGGCAUUCAAAACUGGGCAUCUUGAAUAGGUCAGAGGCUGGUGGAAUUGGAGGUGUAGCGGUGGAAUGCGUAGAGAUCUCCAAGAACACCUAUUGCGAAGGCAGCCAGCUGGGAUGAUAUUGACGCUGAGGCUCGAAAGCGUGGGGAGCAAAUAGG
This 253-nucleotide ribosomal RNA is filed under the name uncultured bacterium. RNAcentral's name for it is "partial 16S ribosomal RNA". It matches the Rfam family "Bacterial small subunit ribosomal RNA", at positions 524 to 776 of the family's 1533-position model. The record is from RNAcentral.